This 372-nucleotide long non-coding RNA is filed under the name Homo sapiens (human). RNAcentral's name for it is "HSALNT0348596". Lineage: Eukaryota; Metazoa; Chordata; Mammalia; Primates; Hominidae. The record is from RNAcentral.
UAUAAUAAAAUUAUUAUUGUAUUAUGUCACUAAGUUUGAGGUGACUUAUUACUCAGUUAUAAAAACUGAACACCUAUGAAGUAUCUGUCAAGGGCAGAACUCAAGCCUCAGACUCUGGAGACACAUCUAGAUUUCAGUCUCAAUUUCAUCCUUUACCAGCUCUACGACUGCAGACAAGUCCGCCAGGGAAUAGGAAGCUUUAGAAAGAUACUUCGCAAUCCAUACCAGCAGCUUCAAAGAAAGGCGGAAGGCACCAAGUAAAAGAGAGAAACUGAGGCUCACAGAGCUUAGAUACCAUACUUCCUGACACACAGCUACUAAAUGAUGCGGUAAGGAUUUGGACUCAGCUGUGUCCGACCAGGACACGUGAAG